ACAUGCGACAAUUCCGGUAGUAAUAUCGGAAUGCUUUUAUUAGAUCAAAACCAUCUAGUUUCUUACGGAACUGUUUGUUGGUGACUCUAAAUAACUUUGUGUUGAUCGUAUGACCUUUGUGUCGACGACAUAUCUUUCAAGUGUCUGACUUAUCAACUUUAGACGGUACAUUAUAUGUCUACCGUGGUUGUAACGAGUACAGAGAAUCAGGGUUUGGUUCUGGAGAGGCCGCCUGAGAAACGGCGACCACUUCCAAGGAAGGCAGCAGGCGCGCAAAUUACCCACUCUCAAAACGAGGAGGUAGUGAAGAGAAAUAACGAUGUUAGUCUAUUAUAGGCUGACAAUCGGAAUGGGAACACUGUAAACAGGUUAUCGAUUAACAAUUGGAGGGCAAGUCUGGUGCCAGCAGCCGCGGUAAUUCCAGCUCCAAUAAGGAAAACUAAGUUGCUGUGUUUAAAAAGCUCGUAGUUGAAUUUCGGGUAUUUGUUGCUAGCUGGUCUAACUGGCCAUGUUGGUUAACAGAUCCUCAUUUGCUGGACGGCUGGCGAUGAUCUUCAUCGAUUGUCGUCAGUUGCCAGAACGUUUACUUUGAGAAAAUUAGAGUGCUAAAAGCAGGCUCACGCCUAUAUAUAUAUUGCAUGGAAUAAUGAAAUAAGAUCUCGAUUUUAUUUCGUCGGUUUUAGAAAUUGAGAUAAUGAUUAAUAGGAUCAGAGGGGGGCGUACGUACUGUGGUGUGAGAGGUGAAAUUCUUGGAUCGCCACAGGACGAACAGCAGCGAAGGCGUUCGCCAAGAAUGUUUUCAUUAAUCAAGAACGAAAGUUUGAGGUUCGAAGACGAUUAGAUACCGUCCUAGUUCAAACCAUAAAUGUUGCCAACUGUCUUUUAGAUGCGGUUAUUUAUAUGACUCAUCUGGCGGAUCUCGAGAAAUCUAAGUUUUUAGGUUCCGGGGGAAGUAUGGUUGCAAAGCUGAAACUUAAAAGAAUUGACGGAAGGACACACAAGAAGUGGAGCCUGUGGCUUAAUUUGACCCAACACGGGAAACCUUACUCGGCCAGGACACUUUUAGGAUUGACAGAUUGAGAGCUCUUUCUUGAUUAGGUGGGUGGUGGUGCAUGGUCGUUCGUAGUUCGUGGAGCGAUUUGUCUGAUUAAUUUCGAUAACGAACGAGACUCCGGCUUACUAAAUAGUCUAAAGUUCGAAGGGACUUUUCAAGACUUCUUAGCAGGAUAAGUGGCAC
Molecule: ribosomal RNA, 1237 nt
Filed under: metagenome
Description: SSU rRNA
Rfam family: Eukaryotic small subunit ribosomal RNA
Source: RNAcentral